Molecule: long non-coding RNA, 788 nt
Filed under: Cyanistes caeruleus (blue tit)
Lineage: Eukaryota; Metazoa; Chordata; Aves; Passeriformes; Paridae
Description: lncRNA (ENSCCEG00000015038.1)
Source: RNAcentral
UCCUCCAAGAUGGAAGCGGCGACCGCGGAUCCCGACGCGCUUGUUUACUGCUCCCAGCGGCGCUUCCGGCCGCUCUGACGGCACGGUCACGUCACUUCCGGCCUCCUGCCGGGAAGGAAUGUGGCGGGGCUGUGCGGGGCCGGGCCGGGCCGGGCCCUGCCAGCCUGAGGGACAGCGAAGGAGAGCUGGGCAGGAGAACGGGCAGCAGCCGCAGCCAAGCGCAUCCGGCAGCUAAAGCUUAAAGCUUGCUCCUUGUAAGCUGUAGCCAGUGAAGUGUGCUGUGUUCAUCUUCCACAUAACUCCACCACAGUUGCCAGAAGGUUUUGGAGGCGCAUGAUCAGCUCACAGCUAACAUUGCAGCUUGCUUCUUGAGAUGAAUGCAUAAUCUCCAUUCCCUCUCCUUUGUGAAACCCUGAAUCUUCUUCAAAGGGAGCUUCUUACUAAAACCUGCUUUUUUGUUAGCUCUUUAUUGGAAAAUUGUAAUUUUUCCAAACUAGAGACCACCUGUCAGUUUCAUGGUCUGCACAGCCAACUGUGAUCAGCUCCUUCAGUGAGCACCUGAUCUGCAGAGAGCACAGAGCCGCCUUAUGGAGGAUCCCAAAACUGGCCACACAAGCUUUAACCUCCAGCAGAAAAGCCGAGGGAUAUUAUUGGAGCUACAUGAAUUCACACCAGCUGUCGCGGUCUGUUUUAUCAAUGACCUUUCAUUCUUAAAGGCAGUGAAGAGUGAGUAUUUCCCUUAGUUAUGAGUUUCAGCUGAGAAUAAACUUUGCCAGUCAGGAGUGGCA